RNAcentral lists this unclassified non-coding RNA (372 nucleotides) under uncultured Actinomycetes bacterium. RNAcentral's name for it is "uncultured actinobacterium contains 16S-23S intergenic spacer region". Lineage: Bacteria; Bacillati; Actinomycetota; Actinomycetes. The record is from RNAcentral.
UCCGAGUUGACCCCGGCAGUCUCCUACGAGUCCCCGCCUUUACGCGCUGGCAACAUAGGACAAGGGUUGCGCUCGUUGCGGGACUUAACCCAACAUCUCACGACACGAGCUGACGACAACCAUGCACCACCUGUGCAGGGCCCUUGCGGACCCCGUAUCUCUACGAGAUUUCCCUGCAUGUCAAGCCUUGGUAAGGUUCUUCGCGUUGCGUCGAAUUAAGCCACAUGCUCCGCUGCUUGUGCGGGCCCCCGUCAAUUCCUUUGAGUUUCAAUCUUGCGAUCGUACUCCCCAGGUGGAAUACUUAACGCUUUCGCUUAGACGCGUACUGUGUAUCGCACACAUCGAGUAUUCAUCGUUUACGGCGUGGACUAC